GUACAUAAAAAUUUGAGGGAAUGAUCUUGCUUGAAUAGUCGUACUCAUAACCGCAGCAGGUCUCCAAGGUUAGAAGCCUCUAGUUGGCAGAAUAAUGUAGGUAAGGGAAGUCGGCAAAAUAGAUCUGUAACUUCGGGAAAAAGAUUGGCUCUAAAGGCUGAGUAUAUGGGCUAUGCUUUGAAGUUAUUAGAGAUUAGAUUGUUACGAUUGGCUGUCAUGGUUGGUUGUGAUGGUUUAGUUGAAGGUGAUGGAGGGGUGUAGGCAGCCUUCACGGGUUGUGCUGUAUACAAUUAACAGCUAAUUUAGAACUGUUACUGACCAGGGGAAUCCGACUGUUUAAUUAAAACAAAGCAUUGUGAUGUUCUCAAUAAGGAUUUUAACACAAUGUGAUUUCUGCCCAGUGCUCUGAAUGUCAAAAGUGAAGAAAUUCAAACAAGCGCGGGUAAAACGGCGGGAGUAACUAUGACUCUCUUAAGGUAGCCAAAUGCCUCGUCAUCUAAAUUAGUGACGCGCAUGAAU
RNAcentral lists this ribosomal RNA (519 nucleotides) under uncultured eukaryote. RNAcentral's name for it is "eukaryotic LSU rRNA". It matches the Rfam family "Eukaryotic large subunit ribosomal RNA", at positions 1801 to 2320 of the family's 3401-position model. The record is from RNAcentral.